RNAcentral lists this transfer RNA (22 nucleotides) under Arachnothryx leucophylla. Its description in RNAcentral is "partial tRNA-Phe". The record is from RNAcentral. RNAcentral also lists the same sequence under 2 other names. Lineage: Eukaryota; Viridiplantae; Streptophyta; Magnoliopsida; Gentianales; Rubiaceae.
GGGAUAGCUCAGCUGGUAGAGC